This 301-nucleotide ribosomal RNA is filed under the name uncultured bacterium. RNAcentral describes it as "partial 16S ribosomal RNA". It matches the Rfam family "Bacterial small subunit ribosomal RNA", at positions 509 to 807 of the family's 1533-position model. The record is from RNAcentral.
CAGCAGCCGCGGUAAUACGUAGGGUGCAAGCGUUAAUCGGAAUUACUGGGCGUAAAGCGUGCGCAGGCGGUUAUAUAAGACAGAUGUGAAAUCCCCGGGCUCAACCUGGGAACUGCAUUUGUGACUGUAUAGCUAGAGUACGGCAGAGGGGGAUGGAAUUCCGCGUGUAGCAGUGAAAUGCGUAGAUAUGCGGAGGAACACCGGUGGCGAAGGCGGCUCACUGGUCCGGAACUGACGCUGAGGCACGACAGCGUGGGGAGCAAACAGGAUUAGAUACCCCUGUAGUCCCUGUCUCUUAUAC